AACGAACGCUGGCGGCGCGUCUUAAGCAUGCAAGUCGAACGGCAAGAGAGGAGCUUGCUUCUCUCCUAGAGUGGCGGACUGGUGAGGAACACGUGGGUAAUCUACCCUUAAGAUGGGGAUAGCUGCUAGAAAUAGCAGGUAAUACCGAAUACACUCGGCAUAUCACAAGAGGUGUUGAGGAAAGGAAGCUACGGCUUCGCUUGAGGAUGAGCUUGCGUCCCAUUAGCUAGUUGGUGAGGUAAAGGCCCACCAAGGCGACGAUGGGUAUCCGGCCUGAGAGGGUGAACGGACACAUUGGGACUGAGAUACGGCCCAAACUCCUACGGGAGGCAGCAGCUAAGAAUAUUCCGCAAUGGACGGAAGUCUGACGGAGCGACGCCGCGUGGAUGAAGAAGGCUGAAAAGUUGUAAAAUCCUUUUGUUGAUGAAGAAUAAGGGUGAGAGGGAAUGCUCAUCUGAUGACAGUAAUCGACGAAUAAGCCCCGGCUAAUUACGUG
RNAcentral lists this ribosomal RNA (496 nucleotides) under uncultured bacterium. RNAcentral describes it as "partial 16S ribosomal RNA". It matches the Rfam family "Bacterial small subunit ribosomal RNA", at positions 29 to 507 of the family's 1533-position model. The record is from RNAcentral.